UCUCCUCUCUCUAAUCAAUGAAACUGAUCUCUCCGUGAAGAAGCGGAGAUUUAACUAUAAGACGAGAAGACCCCAUGGAGCUUUAAACCUGACUACACCCCUAUCUAUUAUACCCUUAAAUCAACAGGGCCUUUGUCUGUCGGUUUUAGGUUGGGGUGACCGCGGAGCAUAAAUUAACCUCCAAGAUGAACUGGACUAACCCAUUAUCUAAGAUUUACACCUCAAAGAAUCAGCACACUGACAUAAAAUGAUCCGACAUUCGAUCAACGAACCAAGUUACCCUGGGGAUAACAGCGCAAUCUACUUCAAGAGCCCCUAUCGACAAGCAGG
RNAcentral lists this ribosomal RNA (330 nucleotides) under Spinomantis sp. 2 MV-2009. Its description in RNAcentral is "partial 16S ribosomal RNA". It matches the Rfam family "Bacterial large subunit ribosomal RNA", at positions 2019 to 2516 of the family's 2925-position model. The record is from RNAcentral. Lineage: Eukaryota; Metazoa; Chordata; Amphibia; Anura; Mantellidae.